This 99-nucleotide microRNA precursor is filed under the name Marmota monax (woodchuck). Lineage: Eukaryota; Metazoa; Chordata; Mammalia; Rodentia; Sciuridae. The record is from RNAcentral.
AAAAUCGGGGGAUCUUGUUGGAACACAGAUCCUGAUUCUCUAGGGCUAGGGUGGAGCCUGAGAUUUUGCAUUUCCAACAAGCUUCCAGGUAAGGCUGAG